ACUCUUCGCCUCCUCCGGCUCUCUCUCUCCGGUCUGUAACCUUCUUCUAGCUUCUCGCAAAUUUGUCCCGUCAAAGCUGUAAUCCAUGGUUUCCAAUGGCUAUCCUUGUUGUAUCUGGAUCAAGAGUCGUUUAUCGACCGUGGUUAAGCUUUUUAUCCACAAUAUCGCGCUUUGUUUGAAGCUCUCAAAUCCAACCCUAGACUAUAGUAAUUCCAUUUAUGCUUACAAAAUACCCGAAUUUCUGACCUAAACUCGCAAAUUUCAUUAUCCAAAACCUAACCCUAACUUUUUCUGCUAGCCGAUUCUACUCAACUGCCGCUGAUUUUGCGAUGUUAGUUCACAAACCUAAUUCCAGAAUGCCUUAGUGGAAGAACAUGGAGGUCAACAACGCCAUAAGACAAAGUCCAGAUUUAGAUUUUAAAACAUUAGAUGAUGAAUUCUUGGGCCUGCAAGAAAUCAGCGAGCUACGACAGUGAGAUGGAAUUGUUGGUGGCGGUGAGCGAAGCUGCCAUGAUCCGCAAGUCUUGACGUAACCCCCUUAGAACGUACAGGAUUCCAAAACCAGGGUCAUUCUGCUUAAGGGGCCAACAUCAGGGGGACUAUACAAGCUUCCGUUGUCAAACACACAGUUUGCGUUCGUCAGUUCCCGUGCCACACAAGACGUUUGGCAUCGAAGGUUGGGUCACCUGCACAGUGUUGUCCAGAACCGCAUCCUAAAAGACUGUCCAGUUUCACCAAAUAAAUCAAAGUCCUCGGAGUCGUGCCCGGCUUGUCACCGCGGCAAGUCGUCCCGGUUUAAAUUAGAUAGAAUUCAUAAAUCUAGCAUCAAUGUUUUAGAUUUAAUUUUCACCGAUGUAUGGGGCCCGGCUCCGGUAGUUUCCACUAGUGGUCAUCGCUACUUCUUACUUUUUGUAGACGAGUAUUCUCGGUUCUUUUGGUUUUAUCCGUUACGGGUAAAAUCAGAUGUUUAUAAAAGCUUUGAAUUGUUUCGGGUGUUGGUAGAGCGGCAAUUUUCCUGCUCUAUCAAGUGUAUCCAA
This is a long non-coding RNA of Ipomoea nil (Japanese morning glory), 1037 nucleotides long. RefSeq lists it as uncharacterized. The transcript is spliced from 4 exons. NCBI's taxonomy places the organism in Eukaryota, Viridiplantae, Streptophyta, Magnoliopsida, Solanales, Convolvulaceae. The record is from RefSeq and is a predicted model, not a curated record.